UACGUAGGGUGCGAGCGUUGUCCGGAAUUAUUGGGCGUAAAGAGCUUGUAGGCGGUCUGUCGCGUCUGCUGUGAAAAUCCGGGGCUCAACCCCGGACUUGCAGUGGGUACGGGCAGACUAGAGUCCGGCAGGGGAGACUGGAAUUCCUGGUGUAGCGGUGAAAUGCGCAGAUAUCAGGAGGAACACCGGUGGCGAAGGCGGGUCUCUGGGCCGGAACUGACGCUAAGGAGCGAAAGCGUGGGGAGCGAACAGG
Molecule: ribosomal RNA, 253 nt
Filed under: uncultured bacterium
Lineage: Bacteria
Description: partial 16S ribosomal RNA
Rfam family: Bacterial small subunit ribosomal RNA
Source: RNAcentral